Molecule: long non-coding RNA, 367 nt
Organism: Heterocephalus glaber (naked mole-rat)
Lineage: Eukaryota; Metazoa; Chordata; Mammalia; Rodentia; Bathyergidae
Source: Ensembl
CCGGGAGCCCCAGACGCGCCGCGCCGGAGCCGAGACGGCCCGCGAGCUGGCGGCCGGGCUUCGGGGCGGGCGGGCCUUCGCCUCCGCCUGGUCACCUGCGGGGCCGCGUCAGCGAUGUGACCUCCCUGGGCUCCUCAGCGCGACUCCACCCUGCAGCGACUCCGUCUCAGUCCGGUGUCCCCCAGGGGAUCUAAGAGGCUGGAACCCCCAACGCUGCUUGGACUGCAGCAGGCGCUUCGGGCCCAGCCAAGGAGCCCGGGGCAUGGACAGUGAUGGAAACUUGCUAAGAGGAGACACAGAGGAUGAGAAAAUCAGACUGUGGAGUAAUAAGGAAUUUGUCCCAAAGCACACAGACCGUCAGUGGCAG